AGGAUACACCUGGGAUUGUGUUUGAGCUCAGGGAGAAUGGCACAGUGAGAUGCUGUGGGCUGAAACAUGAAAACCACAGUCAACAGGGAUCUCCUGAAGAUUUAAGGCGCUGGCACUGACCUGGUUUGGUUUAUAGAAGAAAUCUCCGAAAGGUCCUCGCCAGAAAGCUGUGUCUCCUACUCUCCAGGACUCAACAUACCGGGACAUCAGCCCCAUCUGGUAGCACUGGAAGCAAACACAGGGAGACGUCAGUAGGACAGGUGUAAAGCAGGCCCUCUGGCUCACCAAGACCAAGUUAAUAGAAGGCCUUCCCGAGAAAGUGCUUAGCCUUGUUGAUGAUCCAAGUAACCACAUAGAGAACCAAGACGAGCACGUUCUGAAUGUGAUCUCUCACGCCCGUCUCUGGCAGACCACUGAGGAAAUCCCCAAGAGAGAGACCUACUGCCCGGUCAUCGUGGACAACCUAAUAAGGCUGUGUAAAUCUCAGAUUCUUAAGCAUCCUUCUCUGGCCAGGAGGAUCUGUGUCCAAAACUCCACGUUUUCUGCUACCUGGAACCGAGAGUCUCUUCUCCUUCAAGUCCGUGGUUCUGGUGGAGCCCGACUGAGCACUAAGGAUCCUCUGCCCACCAUCGCCUCCAGAGAGGAGGUUGAAGCUACUAAGAAUCAUGUUCUAGAGACCUUCUACCCCAUAUCACCCAUCAUCGAUCUUCAUGAAUGCAAUAUUUAUGAUGUGAAAAAUGACACAGG
Molecule: small RNA, 747 nt
Filed under: Pongo abelii (Sumatran orangutan)
Lineage: Eukaryota; Metazoa; Chordata; Mammalia; Primates; Hominidae
Description: processed transcript
Source: RNAcentral